RNAcentral lists this ribosomal RNA (579 nucleotides) under uncultured Pseudomonadota bacterium. RNAcentral's name for it is "bacterial SSU rRNA". It matches the Rfam family "Bacterial small subunit ribosomal RNA", at positions 141 to 714 of the family's 1533-position model. The record is from RNAcentral. Lineage: Bacteria; Pseudomonadati; Pseudomonadota.
GGAUAACUACUGGAAACGGUAGCUAAUACCGCAUAACGUCGCAAGACCAAAGAGGGGGACCUUCGGGACCUCUUGCCAUCGGAUGUGCCCAGAUGGGAUUAGCUAGUAGGUGGGGUAAAGGCUCACCUAGGCGACGAUCCCUAGCUGGUCUGAGAGGAUGACCAGCCACACUGGAACUGAGACACGGUCCAGACUCCUACGGGAGGCAGCAGUGGGGAAUAUUGCACAAUGGGCGCAAGCCUGAUGCAGCCAUGCCGCGUGUAUGAAGAAGGCCUUCGGGUUGUAAAGUACUUUCAGCGGGGAGGAAGGGAGUAAAGUUAAUACCUUUGCUCAUUGACGUUACCCGCAGAAGAAGCACCGGCUAACUCCGUGCCAGCAGCCGCGGUAAUACGGAGGGUGCAAGCGUUAAUCGGAAUUACUGGGCGUAAAGCGCACGCAGGCGGUUUGUUAAGUCAGAUGUGAAAUCCCCGGGCUCAACCUGGGAACUGCAUCUGAUACUGGCAAGCUUGAGUCUCGUAGAGGGGGGUAGAAUUCCAGGUGUAGCGGUGAAAUGCGUAGAGAUCUGGAGGAAUACCGGUG